Non-coding RNA from Lolium perenne, 800 nucleotides. The record is from RefSeq and is a predicted model, not a curated record. NCBI's taxonomy places the organism in Eukaryota, Viridiplantae, Streptophyta, Magnoliopsida, Poales, Poaceae.
AUUAUUCUAAACUGGGUGCGUGCCUUUUCUGAACUGAAGCUGGUGCGCAUCUCCGUCGUCUGGCACAUACCCUGCUCUAUUGGUGUGCCUCGUGCUCUUAUGCAGGUUCUACUGCUUGGUGCCACCACCCAUGGUUUGCAGUUGGCCUCCAUUGACUCAUUAGCUGCUGGAGCCUCUAUCUUUUCUGGAGGACUUGAGCCUAGCACCUGUUGAUGUGUGGUUUUUUCCCCGGUUAGCUGCGUGUUCAGGUAUUCACCAUGUUCACUUCUCAAGUUCACUAUGUUCUUUAUGUGAGGUUCACUUUGGUGUUCUCUGUUGGUGAACGUGAGAAGCUCUGAGCAAGAGUUCACUUACUGUCACAAAGGUCACUUGAUUACCCUGUAUAUUUGCAUCGUUUAUACGGGGUAAUCCACCUGGCAGUAAACUUCUCUAUUUCGGGUAGCUCACAAAAUGUUUACCAGUAUCACACUUGUUUAUUUGGGGAAAGAUCACUAGUUUGAACCAGGCAGUCCACUCGGUAAUAAAUAGAACAUUCAUAUUUCACUUGAGUAACGGUAUAUUAUUUGUGUUAUCACAAAAUAUGUUACAAAAGAAAGGAAUCCAUGGAAGUUCACUUUAUUCGUGGGAGAAAUUCAAUUCCACUUGAGUGUGGAGUAAAAAUUGUUCAUAUUUUUGUCAAGAGGUUCGCUUAUUGUAAUUCGGAAGCCCUGUCUUGUGCGUGAGCUCCAGAACGGUUUGUAUACUUAGAAAAGGAAGUCCACCUAUUAAGAUAGAGCGGUUAAUUUACUGAAAAACCUAAU